UACGGAGGAUGCGAGCGUUAUCCGGAUUUAUUGGGUUUAAAGGGUGCGCAGGCGGAUUUUUAAGUCGGCGGUCAAAUCGUGGGGCUCAACCCCAUCCAGCCGUUGAAACUGGGGAUCUAGAGUGUGCGAGAGGUAUGCGGAAUGCGUGGUGUAGCGGUGAAAUGCAUAGAUAUCACGCAGAACCCCGAUUGCGAAGGCAGCAUACCGGUGCACAACUGACGCUCAGGCACGAAAGCGUGGGUAUCGAACAGG
Molecule: ribosomal RNA, 252 nt
Filed under: uncultured bacterium
Lineage: Bacteria
Description: partial 16S ribosomal RNA
Rfam family: Bacterial small subunit ribosomal RNA
Source: RNAcentral